AACGCACAUUGCGCCCAUCAGUAUUCUGUUGGGCAUGCCUGUCCGAGCGUCAUUUCAACCCUCAGGGCCCGUUCGCGGGAACUGGUGUUGGGGAUCGGCCUCCCCCCGGAGGCCGGCCCCGAAAUGCAGUGGCGGCUCUACCGCGAUCUCCUCUGUGUAGUAGCGAUACCUCGCAGCUGGAUAGUGGUGGUGCCACGCCGUAAAAUCCCAACUUUACCAAGGUUGACCUCGGAUCAGGUAGGAAUACCCGCUGAACUUAA
This 260-nucleotide unclassified non-coding RNA is filed under the name uncultured Ascomycota. Its description in RNAcentral is "sequence contains ITS2". Lineage: Eukaryota; Fungi; Ascomycota. RNAcentral also lists the same sequence under 1 other name. The record is from RNAcentral.